This 406-nucleotide ribosomal RNA is filed under the name uncultured bacterium. RNAcentral's name for it is "partial 16S ribosomal RNA". It matches the Rfam family "Bacterial small subunit ribosomal RNA", at positions 30 to 526 of the family's 1533-position model. The record is from RNAcentral.
AUUGAACGCUGGCGGCAGGCUUAACACAUGCAAGUCGAACGAGUGGCGGACGGGUGAGUAAUGCUUGGGAAACUGGCUUAUGGAGGGGGAUAACGACGGGAAACGGUCGCUAAUACCGCGUACCAUAGGAUGAGCCCAGAUGGGAUUAGGUAGUUGGUGGGGUAAUGGCUCACCAAGGCGACGAUCUCUAGCUGGUCUGAGAGGCUGACCAGCCACACCGGAACUGAGAUACGGCCCGGACUCCUACGGUAGGCAGCAGUGGGGAAUAUUGCACAAGGGGGGCAACCCUGAUGCAGCAAUGCCGCGUGAAUGAAGAAGGCCUUCGGGUUGUAAAGUACGUUCAGUGGGGAGGCGUUAAUCGCAGAAGAAGCACCGGCUAACUCCGUGCCAGCAGCCGCGGUAAUUC